CCCUUAGAUGUUCUGGGCGGCCCGCGCACUACAUUGGCACUCUCAAUAAGUUCCUAGAUCUAAAACUUUGGGGUAUUCUAUUAAGUGGUGUCGUGACUGGGAUUAACCCUUGCAAUUAUUGGUUACGAACGAGGAAUUCCUUGUAAUCGCGGUUUAUCAGCCCGCGUUGAAUGCGUCCCUGCCCUUUGUACACACCGCCCGUCGCUCCUACCGAUGAAUCGCCCGGUGAAGUUCAUGGAGUGGUGGUUGUUCCAGCUGCUGUCGAAGUGAAAUGGACCUCACGAUUUAGAGGAAGGAGAAGUCGUAACA
RNAcentral lists this ribosomal RNA (309 nucleotides) under uncultured eukaryote. Its description in RNAcentral is "partial 18S ribosomal RNA". It matches the Rfam family "Eukaryotic small subunit ribosomal RNA", at positions 1470 to 1796 of the family's 1831-position model. The record is from RNAcentral.